Molecule: transfer RNA, 73 nt
Organism: Ordospora colligata OC4
Lineage: Eukaryota; Fungi; Microsporidia; Ordosporidae
Rfam family: tRNA
About the family: Transfer RNA (tRNA) molecules are approximately 80 nucleotides in length. Their secondary structure includes four short double-helical elements and three loops (D, anti-codon, and T loops).
Source: Rfam
GCCUCUGUAGCGCAGUGGUUAACGCGUUCGGCUGUUAACCGAAAGGUCGAGAGUUCGAGUCUCUCCAGAGGCG